GCAGUCUAGGCCCAACGGCCUAGAAGAGUGUAAUCGUGGCUGCGCGGCAUGACUUCUCCAUAGACAGGUUCUACUGGACACUGUACUGUACAGCCCCGACAAGCAACUAAAAUUGUCAAAAAGGGAACUAGUAUUUGCCCCAUGGAGAUAAACAUCUUUACAGUUCUGAACGAAGAUAAUAUCAAUAACAAACGAUAUGAAAACCCCCCUGCGAUCCACCAAAAAGGGUCAAAAGGGAGCUGAAAGGCCAAUAAAGAAUAACCAGUUCCAUUGACAAAGAUAUACGUGGCGGAUGACAUUUUUAACUAUAGAAACAAGUGGCACCAGCCAACAGGUUUCUCCUACCCAACUAAAUGCUAAGGAAUCUUCGAAAAGAAACUGGGAAAACUCGAAACCUUUUUUUUUAGGAAAGUAAUCAGGGACCCCAAUAAGAGGUUACUUUAUGAAAAUAGCUACUGUAAAUGACCAAUCAUAAAAUCGACGAUCUUGCUUAAGUAAUCAGCUAGCUUUCUCGUUAAAUGAACGAGGUAUCAACUCAGCCUCUAUUUUGAUGUUACUUUCUUUGGCGGCCGGUGUGAAAUAUAUCACCCACGAGUUGCUGCGAACAGUGUUUCACACCACCAGAAUCAGCUUGGUUGUCAGUAAACCACUCAACAGAGCACCCUGAAAGAAGAGGUGCAAAACGAACACAGUGGAAUUCUCGCCACAUACGUGGAACUCGAUCUGGUUCGUCUACAUAGAAUCACAGUUUUUGUGCGAAACAGGCAUGUCAACAAUUAAUGGCAAUAAAAGCACCAAAUCCAACAGCGCUAACAUCCGAGUAUACAAUACGAGAUAGUCUGCGAGCAACAUCUGCAAAACGCUGGAAUUGAGAUAAGAGACAUUCUUCUUCCAGAACUCCAACUGUAUGGAAACUGACAACAGGUUAACAACAGCAGGACCACACGCGCACUCGACCACUGAACCUGAGGCCAGAAGAUCAGAAAUAGCCUGCCCGACAAAUCACUUCACUGGACUGGAUGGCUGAGCGAUUAUCAGAAAACUGAGCUGAGGGUGGAAUGUUAAUAAAGAGAAUCUAAUACCCAUCAAAAAUAGUAUCGCCAAUAAAGCAAGAAGCACCUAUAUG
Molecule: long non-coding RNA, 1126 nt
Organism: Orbicella faveolata
Lineage: Eukaryota; Metazoa; Cnidaria; Anthozoa; Scleractinia; Merulinidae
Source: RefSeq, a predicted model, not a curated record